UACGUAGGGACCGAGCGUUGUCCGGAAUUACUGGGCGUAAAGGGUGCGUAGGCGGUUCGUUAAGUCUGUUGUGAAAUCCCCGGGCUCAACCUGGGAAUGGCAAUGGAUACUGGCGAGCUAGAGUGUGAUAGAGGAUGGUGGAAUUCCCGGUGUAGCGGUGAAAUGCGUAGAGAUCGGGAGGAACAUCAGUGGCGAAGGCGGCCAUCUGGAUCAACACUGACGCUGAAGCACGAAAGCGUGGGGAGCAAACAGG
RNAcentral lists this ribosomal RNA (253 nucleotides) under uncultured bacterium. RNAcentral's name for it is "partial 16S ribosomal RNA". It matches the Rfam family "Bacterial small subunit ribosomal RNA", at positions 524 to 776 of the family's 1533-position model. The record is from RNAcentral.